GCUGGGGGGAGGCUGGAAGGGGGUGGAGUUGCUGGUUUUUCCUUUGAACACGGUGAAGACUUUAGCUUGGAACUUGCAUUUGUGGAGCUUCCAGCCGGCAGGAAUCAGCUCUGCCUCCUGUGGGAGAGCCCCCGGCAGAAAGGGGGUGCCCUGUGCUUGGGGGCAGAGUGAGGGCAGGAGGCAUGGAACAACCCUUGGCUGCUGCCUUCUCCCCUGUGCCCCCUUCGCCUUUUCUCUCUCUGUCUUUUUGCUUGUCUGGGGACUUGUGCUAACGCUGCCUGUGCCAGGAGGGAUCCGGGAGCGAGCUGACCCUCGGCUGCAGGAAUUGGCUUCCCACCUGCUCACAGCCUCGAGGAAGCAUCCCGUCCAUCCGAGGUGUUGUGAGGAGAAAGGCAGGAGGUGGCUUGGAACCUGCAGCGCUGAGCCCUGGCAUGUGAGGGUGGGCAGGGGGACAGCAGGCUUUUCCUCUUGCCUUCCCUGGAGAUUUGGGAUCACGCAUAGACCAUGAACGGAUCCUUUCUCAACCAGAGUCUCCUAGAGCAGGGAGCUUACCCCAACAGGACCCAGGGCUUGGGGAUGCUCAUGGCCUGCUGCAAUGGGACCAGCUCGGUGCUGGCAACCGACGGUGGCUCCUCGGUGCUGGCACCUGAUGAGAGGAGCCUUUACAUCACGCGGGUGGUGCAGAUCGCUGUCCUCUGUGUCCUCUCCUUGACUGUGAUGUUCGGCAUCUUCUUUUUGGGCUGCAACUUGCUCAUCAAGUCAGAGAGCAUGAUUAACUUCCUGGUGACGGACCGAAGACCUUCCAAGGAUGUGGGAGCUGCAAUCAUGGGACUUUACUAAAGCCACCGGACUUUUGUAGGCAAGUGAACUGUCUGGACCUGGUGCCGAGAUGCACAUUCCCAUGUGUUUGGGGCAGCUGGGGGGGAGUAAAAAGGGGGGGGGACAGGAGUCUUGUAAUAUGUCUGUGUCUAUGGGAAAGCCAACCUGUGCUUCCCAGUCAACAAACUGUCCUGGUGAACAGGGAGAUCUUCCCAGUGUUGUCUGAAGCACAAUAAAUGACCAGCAUUGUGUUGCAUGCAGAAAUGGCUUAAGUUUUGCAUGAAACUUGCAGAAACAGUGACAAUGUGCAGAUCUGGACUCUUUUCUGCUGUUACCUUGGAUACUGCUACCUGGGAUUUAGGGCUAAAAAAAAAAAAAAACAACAACAAAAAAAAAGGCACAAAAAAAAAAAGGGAAAUAACUUUACUACAAAAAGAAAAUGAAAAGAACAAACUAAAGGGAAAGCAACAUGCAUGGCAUGGACCACGGCUUGGACCAUGGGGCAGGGGAAGGGAAGUGCUGUGUGGGUUGUACAACAAAGUCUGCACGCUACAAAAUGUGCCAGUCUGUUUCUAUGUGGGUCCUCAAGCAUGCAUCUUCUGGUAGAGUUUUGUCAUGGGGAAAGCAUGUUCUUCCUUAUUUUCCUGAGCUACCCUGUUAAAUAAAGCAGUCCUUUCUUCUUUCACACUCCGCUGAAGGACGAAAAGAACCCAGGUAAAUGCAAAAGACCACUCCAACCCCAAAACAAAAGCAUGCUUGGUUUUGUACACAACAGCCUUUUCUCAAGUGUUCUAUUGUUACAAUCCUUGAGGUUUUUGUAGUUUUUUUUGAAAACUGGUGACCAUUCAGGAAGAAAAAGAACCUGUUUCAAAA
Molecule: long non-coding RNA, 1692 nt
Filed under: Strigops habroptila (Kakapo)
Lineage: Eukaryota; Metazoa; Chordata; Aves; Psittaciformes; Psittacidae
Description: lncRNA (ENSSHBG00005010705.1)
Source: RNAcentral